CGGCCACAUCAGAUAAAAAACACCGGUUCCAUACGAUCACUGAAGUGAAGCAACGUUGAGCCUAGUCAGUAACUAGAUGGGUGACCCCAUGGGAAUACCAG
Acanthosepion pharaonis is the source of this 101-nucleotide non-coding RNA. Lineage: Eukaryota; Metazoa; Mollusca; Cephalopoda; Sepiida; Sepiidae. The record is from the annotation of a GenBank genome assembly.